AUCUAAAUGGCGAGUCCCGAAUAAGACGAAACGCACGUCAAACUGGAU
Molecule: non-coding RNA, 48 nt
Filed under: Schistosoma margrebowiei
Lineage: Eukaryota; Metazoa; Platyhelminthes; Trematoda; Strigeidida; Schistosomatidae
Source: RNAcentral